Molecule: ribosomal RNA, 113 nt
Organism: Nicotiana attenuata
Lineage: Eukaryota; Viridiplantae; Streptophyta; Magnoliopsida; Solanales; Solanaceae
Rfam family: Bacterial small subunit ribosomal RNA
Source: Rfam
AUAUCGUGCCGUAAGGUGUUGGGUUAAGUCCCGCAACGAGCGCAACCCUCGUGUUUAGUUGCCAUCAUUGAGUUUGGAACCCUGAACAGACUAUAAACUGCAGCUCAGGUAAA